This is a long non-coding RNA of Eriocheir sinensis (Chinese mitten crab), 1132 nucleotides long. RefSeq lists it as uncharacterized. The transcript is spliced from 2 exons. The record is from RefSeq and is a predicted model, not a curated record. Lineage: Eukaryota; Metazoa; Arthropoda; Malacostraca; Decapoda; Varunidae.
UGCGCACGCUCUCGCGCAUUCAUCCACAAGCGAGCACACUUGCCAAGACCAACAAGCUAGGGAUUAAAUGUUUCCGUGUGGUGACGUCAUCAUCCAAUAAGAGGCAUGAUCACCAACUCCUACAAGUGAACGCGUCAGCAGCCCUCCUCGCCCGCGUCGCCGCCGCCGUCGCCGCCGCAGCGCGCUGGCGGCAGGUAAGGCCGAAGAAAGGCGUGCACCAUGCACUGGCCCAUAUCCACGGCGAAAACCCGGCUUCCUGCUGCUGCCAGACAACAGCUUACGAGCAACAGGAUGUAAAACAGGAGCAGGAGAGUGGCGGGAGGGCGGGGCGGCGGUGAGAGGCGGGAGGAAUGAGGGCAGACACGAGGCGGGCUCACGGCGCCGAGCAGGGCCCUGCCGCGGCCGCUGCGCCUAGCUCAAGUUCUAUUUUGGAAAAUUAUCUCCAGGCAGUGUGUGCCAACGUCGAUGAGAUCCUCUGAUUUCACCUGACAUUCUGCUGCACGUGAUCUGGUGAAACUCGGCGCCAGUAGUAAAAAAAAAAAAAUGUUGUUUAUGUUCAAAGUUUGCAGUAAUCAGCAGGAAAUGGUUCAAGACCACCGUGUUGACUACAUACGCGUCACGUGAGGGAAGGUGCAGGGAAAGAAGCAGGAGUUAAGCAGCCGGAUACACAAAGUUUUCCCAAUACUCAUCCAAAUAUGUAAACUUUAACUGAUGCAGCAGCCUCCGCCGCGAGCGUCAUGCUGCCAGACGUACAAUGGAAAAGAAAAGAAAGUUACAACAGUUUUGAAGCAGGUUUGACCGAGGCACAUUAUUCGUAUCACUCAUCGGCCGCUUUACUUUAGUGACUCUAUAGCAUGACUUGUAAGGGAUCACUUUUUUCUCUAAAUAAAAGGAGGGGAUAAGCUUGCUUGAAAUACUUGCUCUCAGGUAAGUUAUGCUUGCUCGCUCGCCCUCGCGCCGUCUCAUCUGCCCUGCCGUCGUCUCUCGUAACACAGUGAUUCAUUGUGGCAUUUUGGAAACAUUAUAGUCUCCGCUUGCAGGGAAAUGUCUUUUUUUAUCAACUCUUGGCAUACAACAACUAAAACUCAAUUGUCUUUUUCCUGAAACUCAGAAUAUUAAUCUUCAAUAUACA